RNAcentral lists this ribosomal RNA (489 nucleotides) under uncultured bacterium. RNAcentral's name for it is "partial 16S ribosomal RNA". It matches the Rfam family "Bacterial small subunit ribosomal RNA", at positions 30 to 507 of the family's 1533-position model. The record is from RNAcentral.
UUGAACGCUGGCGGCAGGCCUAACCCAUGCAAGUCGCACGGUAACAGGAAGAAGCUUGCUUCUUUGCUGACGAGUGGCGGACGGGUGAGUAAUGUCUGGGAAACUGCCUGAUGGAGGGGGAUAACUACUGGAAACGGUAGCUAAUACCGCAUAACGUCGCAAGACCAAAGAGGGGGACCUUCGGGCCUCUUGCCAUCGGAUGUGCCCAGAUGGGAUUAGCUAGUAGGUGGGGUAACGGCUCACCUAGGCGACGAUCCCUAGCUGGUCUGAGAGGAUGACCAGCCACACUGGAACUGAGACACGGUCCAGACUCCUACGGGAGGCAGCAGUGGGGAAUAUUGCACAAUGGGCGCAAGCCUGAUGCAGCCAUGCCGCGUGUAUGAAGAAGGCCUUCGGGUUGUAAAGUACUUUCAGCGGGGAGGAAGGGAGUAAAGUUAAUACCUUUGCUCAUUGACGUUACCCGCAGAAGAAGCACCGGCUAACUCCGUG